GAGUUUGAUCCUGGCUCAGGAUGAACGCUGGCGGCAUGCCUAACACAUGCAAGUCGAGCGGCAGCAUGCUCACUGAAUCUUUCACGCGUUUGGAAGGUUUUGUGAGUGAUGGCGAGCGGCGGACGGCUGAGUAACGCGUGGGAAUCCACCCCAAAGUGAGGGAUAACGCACCGAAAGGUGUGCUAAUACCGCAUAUGGUCUUCGGAUUAAAGUUUUAACGCUUUGGGAGGAGCCCGCGUCGGAUUAGAUAGUUGGUGAGGUAAUGGCUCACCAAGUCGACGAUCCGUAGCUGGUCUGAGAGGAUGAUCAGCCAGACUGGAACUGAGAUACGGUCCAGACUCCUACGGGAGGCAGCAGUGAGGAAUAUUCCACAAUGGGCGAAAGCCUGAUGGAGCAAUGCCGCGUGCAGGAUGAAGGCCCUCGGGUUGUAAACUGCUUUUAUAUGAGAAGACUAUGACGGUAACAUAUGAAUAAGGACCGGCUAACUACGUGCCAGCAGCCGCGGUCAUACGUAGGGUCCAAGCGUUAUCCGGAGUGACUGGGCGUAAAGAGUUGCGUAGGCGGUUAUGUAAGCGAGUGAUGAAAACUAUCGGCUCAACCGAUAGCCUAUUAUUCGAACUGCAUAACUCGAGAGUAUCAGAGGUCGCUGGAAUUCCUAGUGUAGGAGUGAAAUCCGUAGAUAUUAGGAGGAACACCAAUGGCGUAGGCAGGCGACUGGGAUAUUUCUGACGCUAAGGCACGAAAGCGUGGGGAGCGAACCGGAUUAGAUACCCGGGUAGUCCACGCCGUAAACUAUGGAUGCUAAUUGUUUGGGGUAUCGACCCCUCGAGUAAUAAAGCUAACGCGUUAAGCAUCCCGCCUGCGGAGUACGGCCGCAAGGCUAAAACAUAAAGGAAUUGACGGGGACCCGCACAAGCGGUGGAGGAUGUUCUUUAAUUCGAUGCUAAGCGAAGAACCUUACCAGGGCUUGACAUCCCUUGAAUUUCUCCGAAAGGAGAGAGUGCUUUAUUGAACAAGGUGACAGAUUCUGCAUGGCCGUCGUCAGCUCGUGUCGUGAGAUGUUUGGUUAAGUCCCGCAACGAGCGCAACCCUUGU
RNAcentral lists this ribosomal RNA (1095 nucleotides) under uncultured bacterium. RNAcentral describes it as "bacterial SSU rRNA". It matches the Rfam family "Bacterial small subunit ribosomal RNA", at positions 9 to 1108 of the family's 1533-position model. The record is from RNAcentral.